CCUACGGGAGGCAGCAGUGAGGAAUCUUCCACAAUGGGGGCAACCCUGAUGGAGCAACGCCGCGUGCAGGGUGAAGGCCUUAGGGUCGUAAACUGCUUUUAUUAGUGAGGAAUAUGACGGUAACUAAUGAAUAAGGGUCUGCUAACUACGUGCCAGCAGCCGCGGUAAU
Molecule: ribosomal RNA, 169 nt
Filed under: uncultured bacterium
Lineage: Bacteria
Description: partial 16S ribosomal RNA
Rfam family: Bacterial small subunit ribosomal RNA
Source: RNAcentral